ACUCAAAUGAAUUGACGGGGAUUCGCACAAGCGGUGGACCAUGUGGUUCAAUUCGACGGCAACCGAGGAACCUCACCAGGGCUUGAAAUGCUAUUGACAUUCUGGGGAAACUCAGAACUUCUCACAAGGACAGUAGCACAGGUGAUGCACGGCCCUCGUCAGUUCGUGAUGUGAAUUGUUCCCUUAAGUGGGGUAACGAACGCAACCCCUGUUGUGUGUUAUAUGUGUCACACGAGACUGCCUUCUUAUAGAAGGAGGAAGGAGGGGAUGACGCGAGGUCAGCGUGUCCCUUUGAUGCCCUGGGCUACACACGUGGUACAAUGGCGCGUACAAUGGGUCGCCAAGUCGCGAGACGGAGCUAAUCCCAUCAAAACGCGCCCCAGUUCAGAUUGGAGUCUGCAACUCGACUCCAUGAAGCCGGAAUCGCUAGUAAACGCAGAUCAGCUACGCUGCGUUGAAUACGUUCUCGAAUCUUGUACACACCGCCCGU
Molecule: ribosomal RNA, 490 nt
Filed under: uncultured bacterium
Lineage: Bacteria
Description: partial 16S ribosomal RNA
Rfam family: Bacterial small subunit ribosomal RNA
Source: RNAcentral